UACGUAGGGUGCAAGCGUUGUCCGGAAUUAUUGGGCGUAAAGAGCUCGUAGGCGGCCUGUCGCGUCGGCUGUGAAAACCCGAGGCUCAACCUCGGGCCUGCAGUCGAUACGGGCAGGCUAGAGUUCGGUAGGGGAGACUGGAAUUCCUGGUGUAGCGGUGAAAUGCGCAGAUAUCAGGAGGAACACCGGUGGCGAAGGCGGGUCUCUGGGCAACAACUGACGCUGAGGAGCGAAAGCGUGGGGAGCGAACAGG
This 253-nucleotide ribosomal RNA is filed under the name uncultured bacterium. RNAcentral describes it as "partial 16S ribosomal RNA". It matches the Rfam family "Bacterial small subunit ribosomal RNA", at positions 524 to 776 of the family's 1533-position model. The record is from RNAcentral.